AACUAACAAGGAUUCCCCUAGUAACGGCGAGUGAAGAGGGAAGAGCCCAAGAUUGAAAGCUGGCGUCUUCGGCGUCCGCAUUGUAAUCUCAAGAAGUGUUUUCCGCUUCGGACCAUGCCUAAGUCCCUUGGAAAAGGGCAUCAUAGAGGGUGAUAAUCCCGUACAUGGCAUGGAGCGCCCGAGGCUUUGUGAUACGCUUUCUAAGAGUCGAGUUGUUUGGGAAUGCAGCUCAAAAUGGGUGGUAAAUGCCAUCUAAGGCUAAAUAUUGGGGAGAGACCGAUAGCGAACAAGUACAGUGAUGGAAAGAUGAAAAGAACUUUGAAAAGAGAGUUAAACAGUACGUGAAAUUGCCAAAAGGGAAGGGUAGGAGGUCAGAGAUGCGUCUUGGGAUUCAGCCUUGCUUUUGCUUGGUGUUUUUCCCAAGUUGCAGGCCAACGUCGGUUUUGGGCACUGGAGAAGGGUGGAAGGAACGUGGCACCUCUCGGGGUGUGUUAUAGCCUUCUACUGGAUACAGCGACCGAGACCGAGGACAGCAGCGUACUCGCAAGAGCGGGC
This 555-nucleotide ribosomal RNA is filed under the name Anthracocystis elionuri. RNAcentral's name for it is "LSU rRNA". It matches the Rfam family "Eukaryotic large subunit ribosomal RNA", at positions 63 to 624 of the family's 3401-position model. Lineage: Eukaryota; Fungi; Basidiomycota; Ustilaginomycetes; Ustilaginales; Ustilaginaceae. The record is from RNAcentral.